This 501-nucleotide ribosomal RNA is filed under the name Triticum aestivum (bread wheat). Its description in RNAcentral is "partial small subunit ribosomal RNA". The record is from RNAcentral. Lineage: Eukaryota; Viridiplantae; Streptophyta; Magnoliopsida; Poales; Poaceae.
AUGGUGGCAGUGGUUUCACGUGCUCGUCUCGGCGUCCGUCGUCGCUACCGCGACGAUGUCCGCCUCGACUCGCGUUACGCUAAGACAGGGUGGCUAUGCUGUGACGUGCUCGUCUCGGCGUCUGUCGUCGCUACUGCGACGACGUCUGCCUCGACUCGCGUUAUACUAAGACAGGGUGGGAAUGGUGUCACGUGCUCGUCUCGGUGUCCGUCGUCGCUACCGCGACGACGUCCGCCCCGACUCGCGUUACGCUCAGUGGUGUCACGUGCUCGUCUCGGCGUCCGUUGUCGCUACCGCGAGGACGUCCGCCCCGACUCGCGUUACGCUAAGACAGGGUGGCAGUGGUGUCACGUACUUGUCUCCGCAUCCGUCGUUGCUACCGCGAUGACGUCCGCCUCGACUCUCAUUACGCUAAGAGAGGGUGGCAGUGGUGUCACGUGCUCAUCUUGGCGUCCGUCAUUGUUACUGCGACGACAUCCGCCUCGACUCGUGUUACGCUAA